RNAcentral lists this transfer RNA (67 nucleotides) under Dictyophorus spumans. Its description in RNAcentral is "tRNA-Ala". It matches the Rfam family "tRNA". Rfam says of the family: Transfer RNA (tRNA) molecules are approximately 80 nucleotides in length. Lineage: Eukaryota; Metazoa; Arthropoda; Insecta; Orthoptera; Pyrgomorphidae. The record is from RNAcentral.
AGGGAUAUAGUUAAACAUAACGUUUGGUUUGCAAUCAAAAAGUAUUGAACAUAAUCAAUUAUCCUUA